GUUUGUUAGGCUCAGUGGAGAAACCACUGCAAGGGCUAGUUCUCCUUGUUGUCUGCUUCUAGUUGGGAACCGGGCAUAAAUCAGUGUCCCACUGUUGUUCAAGAACAGGGACCCAAAUAGUAAAUAUGUCUAAUGCGGGUCCUCCACAUGAGCUAACAUCACUCCAUCUUCAUCAAGAAGACCUGGGUUGCAAAAGAAAUUGUGAUUCAACCAGAGGGAUCAGAGAUACUGAGUUUAAUUCUCCAAACCACAGAUUAGAGACUGGGCCAUGUAAACCCACAGAGGGAAGUAAGCCACCAAGUCAGUUCAAGGGAAGAACCAAGGAGAAUUUCAGAGGAAAGAUUUUCCCCAUUUGGUCGCUUGGGGAAGACACAUGGCUGCACCCUCCCAAGAGUGGCAGAAAGACAGGAAAAUUCUACAAAUUGAAACUCCAUUACUCACAUGUGAAUUGCUAGAAAGAGGAUGCAAUUAAGCAUACCACUCUUGGAGAUCCAACCAUCAUUUGACAUGAGAUAACACAAAACCCACCCCCACCCAGGGCUGGAAAUAAAGAACAAAAAGAAGUAAGGAAAAGAAGAGAG
This 581-nucleotide long non-coding RNA is filed under the name Monodelphis domestica (gray short-tailed opossum). RNAcentral's name for it is "lncRNA (ENSMODG00000033419.2)". Lineage: Eukaryota; Metazoa; Chordata; Mammalia; Didelphimorphia; Didelphidae. The record is from RNAcentral.